This 253-nucleotide ribosomal RNA is filed under the name uncultured bacterium. RNAcentral's name for it is "partial 16S ribosomal RNA". It matches the Rfam family "Bacterial small subunit ribosomal RNA", at positions 524 to 776 of the family's 1533-position model. The record is from RNAcentral.
UACGAAGGGGGCUAGCGUUGUUCGGAAUCACUGGGCGUAAAGGGCGCGUAGGCGGCUUCUUAAGUCAGGGGUGAAAGCCUGGGGCUCAACCCCAGAAUUGCACUUGAUACUGAGGAGCUUGAGUCCGGGAGAGGUGAGUGGAACUCCGAGUGUAGAGGUGAAAUUCGUAGAUAUUCGGAAGAACACCGGUGGCGAAGGCGGCUCACUGGCCCGGUACUGACGCUGAGGUGCGAAAGCGUGGGGAGCAAACAGG